UGAGUAAUCUGUCCUUCACUCUGGGAUAACUCCGGGAAGCCGGGCUAAUACUGGAUAUGACUCGAACGA
RNAcentral lists this ribosomal RNA (69 nucleotides) under uncultured bacterium. RNAcentral's name for it is "partial 16S ribosomal RNA". The record is from RNAcentral.